Molecule: long non-coding RNA, 338 nt
Filed under: Monodelphis domestica (gray short-tailed opossum)
Lineage: Eukaryota; Metazoa; Chordata; Mammalia; Didelphimorphia; Didelphidae
Description: lncRNA (ENSMODG00000041742.1)
Source: RNAcentral
AGGGAUUCCAACUGCCUUCUCUUCUACAUUCCUUCCUUCUCUUUCUCUCUCAUCCAAAGUGAUAGCUGCUCUUUUGCCCGUCUAGAACACCCUUCCCUCAUUCCAAUCCCCAUCAGAGGACCAUGCUGCUUAAUGUCACUGAUCAAAGGACUGUCAUUGGAAGGACCGGACCAAAUCACCUUGCCAUCUGCCCUGCAAUGAAUCCCUCCUUGUCCAUCUGCCUUCUUUCUGAAAUUCCCUAAUACAUCUCCUUCCAGGAAUAUCAACUCACCUGCAAGUGAGCAAGAUUCUGGAGCUACUGAGACAAAUGCAGCAAUCCUUGCCAUCAAGGAGCCUCC